AUGUGUGGGGGUCUUGGGGUUCAGAUGAGGAGCAAGAGUGCCUUUCCAGCCAUGACCCUUCCCGAGUCAGUUCGAGGGUGGCAGUCGACCUGGUUCUACUGCCAAGACCAGUCGACUGGCCUCCCCCCGUUCUCCAUGGACCGAGUGAACAAGCCAUCUUCUCUGAAGGUGCUUCCGGAGGAGAAGGCUCAGGUUAGGAUGUUGAUGGAGCGCGGGGUCCAGCUCAUUCGCGACGGAGUGACGGGCAUGGAUCUUCUAGAGGUUUUCCUUCGACGGCGCAUUCAGCCACUUCAGUACCGGGGCCAUCCGAUGUGGUUGUACUCUGGUACUGAAGACACCACUCGGGUCCACCCGGAGGAGGUCGACGAUGUCAGUCUGGAGAGGUGGAUGACCGCCAUCACGGGGAACAGAGAUAAUCCUCGUGGAGCAAGGAGGAUCCCGCCACUCGACCAGUCCUAUGAACCAGGCAAGGUCACAACCGAGAUGUACUUGAUGCCCAACGGGGCGCAAGAACAUGCCGAAGAAGAAGAAGAAGGAAGUGGAGGUGAAAGUCAGGAGGAGUGGGAGUCGGACCACGACGAAGGUGAAGAAGAUGCCGGCUCUGAUGAGGAAGAGGAGGAGGAAGAGGAGGAGGCAGUCGAGCCUCCUCGUACUGAAAGACGGUCCAAGCUCGCCCAUGAUCCUGCAGUCGAGCGAGGCAAGCGAGUCGUGCCUGCUGGGCAGUCGACCAAACGCCCUCGGACGACUUCUCUGGCGCCGACUGAGAAAGCGUCGAAGCAACCCCGAGCGGCACCGACAAAACCAGCGAAGGCUCUACCAAAGAUGAGGAUGGAGAUUCCGACUGUUUCUGGAGCUGCUACUUCUGAGACCUCAGCCAGGCAUGACGAUCAAGAAAUGGAGGAUGCUGCCACUUCCAAUCCUGCUCCACCUAGCAUUAUCAUUGAUCUCCCCGACGACGACGAUGAGGAGCCACUGAGGCAAAGGAAGAAUAGGAAAGCGUCUGCUGGCAAGAUUGCUCAAGUUGCGUCAGCGCCUGAGACAUUGGUUCCGGAGGGGGGCAACGUUGCUCGGGCUACCGUGUCCUUUGCGGUGCCGUUGACGAGUGUCCGCCCUCCGUCGUCGAGUGAUGAUCCACCUUCCCUCUUCUCCACACACCACGUCCCGGAGGACCAAGCAGGUGCUGCCAAGGAAGCCAUACGCCAGGCGGGGGUCAUGAUGGAGCAGGUGAAGGCGAUCCGAGACGCCAGCCAAGCAGCUUAUGAUGCAAGUUCAGCUCUCCAGAGCAAUGUCUAG
Molecule: ribosomal RNA, 1293 nt
Filed under: Triticum aestivum (bread wheat)
Lineage: Eukaryota; Viridiplantae; Streptophyta; Magnoliopsida; Poales; Poaceae
Description: partial small subunit ribosomal RNA
Source: RNAcentral